CCUCUUUUCAUCGCCGGCGGAAACACCUAUAUCAGCCUUGCCGGGGCUUGCUCCGGCUAUGGCAAUAAACGGUCGGUGUAAUAAACCUAUUGGACCCGGGGGCGGUACCCGGCGCCUCCACCAAAAACCGGUCGGUGACGACGUCUGUCGGACCGGCUUUUGAUGGGGGCGAAAUAGGAUCGACAAGGGCGUAAAGAUCGAACUUUUGCUCGGCAUGAUACCGCCGUUAUCGGGUCACAAGUGUAGUUGCAAACGACAACAACGCUAAGGGUUACGCUCUCGCUGCCUAAUGGCGGUGCGGGAAACCCGCUCUAAAGUCCUUGGGGUUAGCCCCUCAAGGCGGGGUUCGAAGGCACCUGGCAACAGAAGCCUUCACC
RNAcentral lists this transfer-messenger RNA (377 nucleotides) under Ciceribacter sp. L1K23. It matches the Rfam family "Alphaproteobacteria transfer-messenger RNA". From Rfam's summary of the family: Bacterial tmRNA, also known as 10Sa RNA or SsrA, is named for its dual tRNA and mRNA-like properties. Its role is to liberate the mRNA from a stalled ribosome. The record is from RNAcentral. Lineage: Bacteria; Pseudomonadati; Pseudomonadota; Alphaproteobacteria; Hyphomicrobiales; Rhizobiaceae.